RNAcentral lists this ribosomal RNA (232 nucleotides) under Extubocellulus spinifer. RNAcentral describes it as "partial Bacterial large subunit ribosomal RNA". It matches the Rfam family "Bacterial large subunit ribosomal RNA", at positions 1516 to 1742 of the family's 2925-position model. The record is from RNAcentral. Lineage: Eukaryota; Bacillariophyta; Thalassiosirophyceae; Cymatosirales; Cymatosiraceae.
GUGUGUGGACUGUCUGGUAGGUAAAUCCGCUGGGCGUGAAGGUUGAGGCAUGAUGGGGAGCCCACGGUUGUGGGUGAGUGAGUGAUCCUGUACUGUCGAGAAAAGCUUCGUGAGCGAGGUGGCGGGUCCGCCCGUACCCUAAACCGACACUGGUGGAUAGGUAGAGUAUACCGAGGCGAUCGAGUGAAUCGUGGUGAAGGAACUCGGCAAAAUGCCCCCGUAACUUUGGGAU